AGCGAACGCUGGCGGCAGGCCUAACACAUGCAAGUCGAACGAACCUUUCGGGGUUAGUGGCGGACGGGUGAGUAACACGUGGGAACGUGCCUUUAGGUUCGGAAUAACUCAGGGAAACUUGUGCUAAUACCGAAUGUGCCCUUCGGGGGAAAGAUUAAUCGCCUUUAGAGCGGCCCGCGUCUGAUUAGCUAGUUGGUUGAGGUAAUGGCUCACCAAGGCGACGAUCAGUAGCUGGUCUGAGAGGAUGAUCAGCCACAUUUGGACUGAGACACGGCCCAAACUCCUACGCGAGGCAGCAGUGGGGGAUCUAGCGCAAUGGGGGGAAGCCUGACGCAGCCAUGCCGGGUGAAUGAUGAUGGUCUUAGGAUUGUAAAAUUCUUUCACCGGGGACGAUAAUGACGGUACCCGGAGAAGAAGCCCCGGCUAACUUCGUG
Molecule: ribosomal RNA, 434 nt
Filed under: uncultured bacterium
Lineage: Bacteria
Description: partial 16S ribosomal RNA
Rfam family: Bacterial small subunit ribosomal RNA
Source: RNAcentral